RNAcentral lists this ribosomal RNA (419 nucleotides) under Leifsonia sp. RNAcentral describes it as "bacterial SSU rRNA". It matches the Rfam family "Bacterial small subunit ribosomal RNA", at positions 334 to 764 of the family's 1533-position model. The record is from RNAcentral. Lineage: Bacteria; Bacillati; Actinomycetota; Actinomycetes; Micrococcales; Microbacteriaceae.
UACUCCUUCGGGGGGGGCAGCAGUGGGGAAUAUUGCACAAUGGGCGCAAGCCUGAUGCAGCAACGCCGCGUGAGGGAUGACGGCCUUCGGGUUGUAAACCUCUUUUAGUAGGGAAGAAGCGAAAGUGACGGUACCUGCAGAAAAAGCACCGGCUAACUACGUGCCAGCAGCCGCGGUAAUACGUAGGGUGCGAGCGUUGUCCGGAAUUAUUGGGCGUAAAGAGCUCGUAGGCGGUCUGUCGCGUCUGCUGUGAAAACCCGAGGCUCAACCUCGGGCCUGCAGUGGGUACGGGCAGACUAGAGUGCGGUAGGGGAGAAUGGAAUUCCUGGUGUAGCGGUGGAAUGCGCAGAUAUCAGGAGGAACACCGAUGGCGAAGGCAGUUCUCUGGGCCGUAACUGACGCUGAGAGCGAAGCUGCUG